UAAGGAAUAUUGCUCAAUGGGAGAAAUCCUGAAGCAGCAACGCCGCGUGGAGGAUGAAGGGUCUAUGACUUGUAAACUCCUGUAAAGAAGGAAAAAAUUCCCAUUAGAUGGGAGAUGAUGGUACUUCUGGAGUAAGCCCCGGCCAACUACGUGCCAGCAGCCGCGGUAAUACGUAGGGAGCAAGCGUUGUUCGGAUUUACUGGGCGUAAAGGGCGCGUAGGCGGCGCGGUAAGUCACUUGUGAAAUCUCUGAGCUUAACUCAGAACGGCCAAGUGAUACUGCUGUGCUAGAGUGCGGAAGAGGCAACCGGAAUUCUUGGUGUAGCGGUGAAAUGCGUAGAUAUCAAGAGGAACACCUGAGGCGAAGGCGGGUUGCUGGGCCGACACUGACGCUGAUGCGCGAAAGCCAGGGGAGCAAACG
This 420-nucleotide ribosomal RNA is filed under the name uncultured bacterium. RNAcentral describes it as "bacterial SSU rRNA". It matches the Rfam family "Bacterial small subunit ribosomal RNA", at positions 355 to 774 of the family's 1533-position model. The record is from RNAcentral.